RNAcentral lists this long non-coding RNA (1038 nucleotides) under Homo sapiens (human). RNAcentral describes it as "non-protein coding LINC02289:32". The record is from RNAcentral. Lineage: Eukaryota; Metazoa; Chordata; Mammalia; Primates; Hominidae.
GGAUUUUCUUCAGGAACCUCCUUGUGGCUCUGCCAUGGCGGGGAGGGUUGGGGGUAAGAAAUAUAAGACCCAAUUCCCUGUGGAGGCGGGGAUUCGGUGAAACCAAUCCCUUGAAUGUGGGGUGGAACCAACAUGUAACUCAAUUUGCUUUGGCUCUCACUGUGCAUUUGAGCUAAAGCAAGGGAAGCAUUUCCCCUUCCCCUGGCUGAAAGCUCAGCUGACCCCGAGGCUCUUCUGGUCAUGCUUAGAGUGGGCCCUACAUCCAAUGACUGGUGUUCUCAUAAGGAGAGAGAGACAAAGAGUAGACAGACACAAGGGAGAAGGCCGUGUGAAGAUGGAGACAGAGAUUGGAAUGAUACAGCCACAAGCCAAGAAACAUCUGCGGCCGUCAGAAGUUGGAAGAGGCAAGGAAUGAUUUAUUCUUUCCCACUCAUUGUUUCACCAAUGAGCACCUUCCAUGUGCCACCGUUCUGACCCUGCUGACAAUGUGGUUUCAGACUUCUGGCCCCCAGAACUGUGAAAGAGUAAAUUUCUGUUAAGUUAUCUUGCUUGUGGUACUUUGUUACAGCAGCCCUGUGGAUCUAAUAUAGUCAUAAGAGACAUUGUGACCUCCUCCCUGCUCUCUUGAACCACUCAUUCUGGGAGAAGUCAGCUGCCAUGUCAUGAAGCUACUCAGGGAGGUCCAUGGAGAGGUCCACAUGGCAAGGAACUGAGGCCUCCUGCCAGUAGCCAGCACCAUCUUGCUGGCCAUGUGAGCGUGCCAUCUUAGAUGCAGAUCAUACGGCCCCAGUCAAGCCUUCAAAUGACUGCAUCCCUACUUGACAUUUUGACUGUAACCUCAUGACAAACCCUAAGCCAGAACACCAGCUAAGCCACUCCCCAAUUCCUCAUCAAGAGAAACUGAGAUAAUAAAUGUUUAUUAUUGUUUUAAGCUACUAAAUUUUGAGGUAAUCUGUUAUGUAGCAAUAGAUAACUAAUACUGAUAUCUGUCAUAUUGGGGCCUCAGUGUAACUUGGAACAGAAAGAGUUCCAUAUUAU